This 541-nucleotide ribosomal RNA is filed under the name uncultured bacterium. RNAcentral's name for it is "bacterial SSU rRNA". It matches the Rfam family "Bacterial small subunit ribosomal RNA", at positions 355 to 912 of the family's 1533-position model. The record is from RNAcentral.
UGGGGAAUCUUGGACAAUGGGGGCAACCCUGAUCCAGCCAUGCCGCGUGAGUGAUGAAGGCCUUAGGGUUGUAAAGCUCUUUCACCGGUGAAGAUAAUGACGGUAGCCGGAGAAGAAGCCCCGGCUAACUCCGUGCCAGCAGCCGCGGUAAUACGGAGGGGGUUAGCGUUGUUCGGAAUUACUGGGCGUAAAGCGCACGUAGGCGGACCAGAAAGUUGGGGGUGAAAUCCCGGGGGCUCAACCCCGGAACUGCCUCCAAAACUAUUGGUCUAGAGUUCGAGAGAGGUGAGUGGAAUUCCAAGUGUAGAGGUGAAAUUCGUAGAUAUUUGGAGGAACACCAGUGGCGAAGGCGGCUCACUGGCUCGAUACUGACGCUGAGGUGCGAAAGUGUGGGGAGCAAACAGGAUUAGAUACCCUGGUAGUCCACACCGUAAAACGAUGAAUGCCAGUCGUCGGGUAGCAUGCUAUUCGGUGACACACCUAACGGAUUAAGCAUUCCGCCUGGGGAGUACGGUCGCAAGAUUAAAACUCAAAUGAAUUG